AGGAAACAAAGGGUCUAUCUGUCUGUGUGAUGCUUUUGCUGGGAACAGAAAAGGAAUGAAGUCUUAGAACUUAGCCUUCGUUCAGGGAAAUCCUUUGGCCUGUGUUAUAUGGGUGGUCACACUAGCUGAUCACUGUGGUCCUUUCUGGCCUAUGAAAAAGCAAUGGCAAAAGCAAGGGUUGAAAAAAAUCACUAUUUUUGGAUUGACAUAUAAAAUAUAUGGAAAAAGAAAGCCACCAUCAAAUGAAUCACUGUGAACCUUCUGAAAAGUAAGAGCAUCACACAAGAUGCUUUUCUUAAAGGAUUUCUCAUUCUCAGCCCAGAGUACUCCAGAACAUACAAUAAGAGAAUUGCUAAUUGGGGUUGGAAGAGAAGAAAGGUGUAGAUCAAGACACAGCAAAUGAGGAAGGAAAUAACCCUCAUUGCUAAAAUCCUUUGUACAGCAUUCGGUCUCUAGUUGGAGAUGAGAGAGACGGAGAGAUGCAUUAAUCAUUUUUGACUGGAGCCUGCAUGGAGUUGGGAGGACAAGCAUGACUGCAGUCAGAGUACAUGGCAUGGAGACAGAAGUUCCGUUCUGUGCAGGAGGCAGACUAUUGUCAUAUGCAAGAAGGAUUUGCAGGAGAGAGAGACCAGGAGGGACUCUCUGCCCAGCCUGGAAUACAGAUGAACCAUGUCCCCACACAAGGAGAGAGAUCAUACUGGGUAGGACUUGUGGUGUUUUCAAAGCUCUGCAACUCUCAUUACUUUAAGAGUAAAAGUGUCUCUGGCUAAGAAAUUCCUUUGCUAAGCCUGUGUUUCUUGCUUUCCUGUUGCAUUGUUUCCAAAAGGGUUAAACUAGAAACCCAGAGGUCCCACAGCCUAAGUGGAAUUCUGAGGGAGUAUGUGUAAGUGACUGAGGAGCACUUGGAAGGUGUCACACUGGUUUUAGGAUCAAGGCUGAAUGAAAGCAUCUCAAAGACGGAUGUCAGCCAAGAGGUCUGAGCCUGGAAGUGCGCCCUAAAGUCCCAGAGCUAGAAACAGUGACUAAUCUCUACCCAGAUCAAGGUCAAUUGGAAGGAUGUGGGAUCCAGCAACAGACUGGUCACUUUACCGUGGGGUACUAGUCAGGUUGUAAAAAUGAUGACUAAGCUUCACUGUCAGCACAACUUUUAAAAAGAGUAAAUGCCCCCAACCUUAGCUUUUGCUGAAUAUCUGUGGAAAAAUUAUGCAGAGUACUUUAAACAUAAAGUAAUGGCUAAUGUUAACCAAUAGUCCUUGAUACACACAGUUGAAUCCUGAAAUAAGUACACAAAGAGUGAGAUCCUCGUCCCUGCUCCAGCUCCUUGUAUGUUAUGUGAAAGAUCCAGAGUGGCAUAAAGGGGCCCUAAAAAGACAGUCUCUAGCUGAGGGAAGGUUUCCCCUGGUGCAGACAUUGUGGAAAACAGCCAUAAGCCUGACAUCUGAGGACCUCUUUGCAAGCCUGAGGUAAGCAGCAUGCUGGGGUUGGGGCUGGGUACAGGAGGAAUGUGUUGCCGGUAGGGAUGCAGCACUCAGUGCUGUGGAAAUUCCAGGGAGUGCUGCAACACAGAGGGCAGCCCCACAAUGCUGCUAUAUCAUAGGCAAGCCACCAGGGCUGUCAAAGUUACACUGGGGCCUUCUCAGCUCCCAGAGCAACCCAGGACUGGGAGGGGGCAAAGGUUACUUAAAUCCCCUUCUCCUGGGCAUCAAGUUCUGUGCUGUAUCUCUGAGAAACACAACACAAAAUCUCAUCCAUGAUAAUUUGUACAGUGUGUAAGUUUGAAUACAAAUUCCAGUUUGCAUUCUGAUAGGCUACUACACAAAACUCUUCAUUGUGAAACACAUAGGUUAGGAAAAGUAGGACUACCAAGAAAAGAUUUCAGAUGGAGACCAAUUUAAAAGGCCAAGUGUGAAACAUUCAUGAAUAGAAACCAAACAACACUACAAAGAAAAUGCAAAUGGCCAAAAACUUAACCUUCUGUGAUAUUUCACACCAAAAGGCCACCUACUUUUAGAGGAAAACAAGAAUUUGUGCCCCAUUCUAUGAUUAUUUUAGGAUGGAACCCUAACUAUGGAGUCCCUACAGAUAAUAUUGCAUUUAAUAAAUAAUAUGAAAAGAAACUGUAUUUUAAGGCAUCUACAUAUGGAUCUAGAGUUAAGGUGAACAUCCAACCUUCUCUUUCAUAGUUUUGCUGAAUUUUGAAUGCAUGAUUCUCCAGCGUUAACAUUGCAUUAACUUUUAAAAAUGGAAUAUAGUCUAUAUCUCAUCAUUUUAAAAUUGAAUAUUUAAAUAUUAGUCUUUUUCAAGUAGCUGUAUAGUUUAAAAGACUGAGAUUUCAUUUUAAUUUAAGCAUGUGCAUGUCCUUUCUCAUUUUUAAAAGAAUACAUGUUAAGUAAUAUGUAUGCUAUCUGUUGUGGUCUUUGAUUAGAUAUAAGCAUUCAUCUAUGAUUCUAUGAUCCUUAGAGUAUUCAUGGGUACUUGUGCUGGUAUGGAGGAGAUUUGUCUUCUAAUAAAUAAUCUGCCUGCCUUGAAUUAGGAUGUCUAUAAGUGGAUAUUUCUGUCCUGUCACAUUCUUCUAUUGUAUUAUCUCUUGUCAAUAUAUUUCUGCUACUCCUGCUGUUGGUUUGGUAAUUAU
Long non-coding RNA from Caretta caretta (loggerhead turtle), 2632 nucleotides. RefSeq lists it as uncharacterized. NCBI's taxonomy places the organism in Eukaryota, Metazoa, Chordata, Testudines, Cheloniidae. The record is from RefSeq and is a predicted model, not a curated record.